Molecule: ribosomal RNA, 450 nt
Filed under: uncultured prokaryote
Description: bacterial SSU rRNA
Rfam family: Bacterial small subunit ribosomal RNA
Source: RNAcentral
UGGGGAAUAUUGGACAAUGGGGGCAACCCUGAUCCAGCAAUGCCGCGUGUGUGAAGAAGGCCUGCGGGUUGUAAAGCACUUUCAGAUGCGAAGAUGGGUGGUAUGGUUAAUACCCAUAUCAUUUGACGUUAACAUCAGAAGAAGCACCGGCUAACUCCGUGCCAGCAGCCGCGGUAAUACGGAGGGUGCGAGCGUUAAUCGGAAUUACUGGGCGUAAAGCGCGCGUAGGUGGUUUGGUAAGUCAGAUGUGAAAUCCCCGGGCUCAACCUGGGAAUUGCAUCUGAUACUGCUUGACUAGAGUAUGCUAGAGGGAAGUGGAAUUCCGGGUGUAGCGGUGAAAUGCGUAGAUAUCCGGAGGAACACCAAUGGCGAAGGCAACUUCCUGGGGCAAUACUGACGCUGAGGUGCGAAAGCGUGGGGAGCAAACAGGAUUAGAUACCCCCGUAGUCC